CCAAACUGUUGCCUCGGCGGGAUCUCUGCCCCGGGUGCGUCGCAGCCCCGGACCAAGGCGCCCGCCGGAGGACCAACCAAAACUCUUAUUGUAUACCCCCUCGCGGGUUUUUUACUAUCUGAGCCAUCUCGGCGCCCCUCGUGGGCGUUUCGAAAAUGAAUCAAAACUUUCAACAACGGAUCUCUUGGUUCUGGCAUCGAUGAAGAACGCAGCGAAAUGCGAUAAGUAAUGUGAAUUGCAGAAUUCAGUGAAUCAUCGAAUCUUUGAACGCACAUUGCGCCCGCCAGUAUUCUGGCGGGCAUGCCUGUCCGAGCGUCAUUUCAACCCUCGAACCCCUCCGGGGGGUCGGCGUUGGGGAUCGGCCCUUUACGGGGCCGGCCCCGAAAUACAGUGGCGGUCUCGCCGCAGCCUCUCCUGCGCAGUAGUUUGCACACUCGCAUCGGGAGCGCGGCGCGUCCAAUGCCGUAAAACACCCAACUUUCUGAAAUGUUGACCUCGGAUCAGGUAGGAAUACCCGCUGAACUUAAGCAUAUCAAUAAGCGGAGGAA
Molecule: ribosomal RNA, 548 nt
Filed under: Trichoderma virens
Lineage: Eukaryota; Fungi; Ascomycota; Sordariomycetes; Hypocreales; Hypocreaceae
Description: eukaryotic LSU rRNA
Rfam family: 5.8S ribosomal RNA (bases 165-318)
Source: RNAcentral